GAUGAAGAACGCAGUGAAAUGCGAUAAGUAAUGUGAAUUGCAGAAUUCAGUGAAUCAUCGAAUCUUUGAACGCACAUUGCGCCCGCCAGUAUUCUGGCGGGCAUGCCUGUUCGAGCGUCAUUACAACCCUCAGGCCCCCGGGCCUGGCGUUGGGGAUCGGCGGAGCCCCCCGUGGGCACACGCCGUCCCCCAAAUACAGUGGCGGUCCCGCCGCAGCUUCCAUCGCGUAGUAGCUAACACCUCGCGACUGGAGAGCGGCGCGGCCACGCCGUAAAACACCCAACUCUUCUGAAGUUGACCUCGAAUCAGGUAGGAAUACCCGCUGAACUUAAGCAUAUCAAUAAAGCGGAGGA
Molecule: unclassified non-coding RNA, 353 nt
Filed under: soil metagenome
Description: partial contains 5.8S ribosomal RNA, internal transcribed spacer 2, and large subunit ribosomal RNA
Rfam family: 5.8S ribosomal RNA (bases 1-120)
Source: RNAcentral